CAGGCCUAACACAUGCAAGUCGAACGGUAACAGGAAGCAGCUUGCUGCUUUGCUGACGAGUGGCGGACGGGUGAGUAAUGUCUGGGAAACUGCCUGAUGGAGGGGGAUAACUACUGGAAACGGUGGCUAAUACCGCAUAACGUCGCAAGACCAAAGAGGGGGACCUUCGGGCCUCUUGCCAUCAGAUGUGCCCAGAUGGGAUUAGCUUGUUGGUGAGGUAACGGCUCACCAAGGCGACGAUCCCUAGCUGGUCUGAGAGGAUGACCAGCCACACUGGAACUGAGACACGGUCCAGACUCCUACGGGAGGCAGCAGUGGGGAAUAUUGCACAAUGGGCGCAAGCCUGAUGCAGCCAUGCCGCGUGUAUGAAGAAGGCCUUCGGGUUGUAAAGUACUUUCAGCGGGGAGGAAGGUGUUGUGGUUAAUAACCGCAGCAAUUGACGUUACCCGCAGAAGAAGCACCGGCUAACUCCGUGCCAGCAGCCGCGGUAAUACGGAGGGUGCAAGCGUUAAUCGGAAUUACUGGGCGUAAAGCGCACGCAGGCGGUCUGUCAAGUCGGAUGUGAAAUCCCCGGGCUCAACCUGGGAACUGCAUUCGAAACUGGCAGGCUUGAGUCUUGUAGAGGGGGGUAGAAUUCCAGGUGUAGCGGUGAAAUGCGUAGAGAUCUGGAGGAAUACCGGUGGCGAAGGCGGCCCCCUGGACAAAGACUGACGCUCAGGUGCGAAAGCGUGGGGAGCAAACAGGAUUAGAUACCCUGGUAGUCCACGCCGUAAACGAUGUCUACUUGGAGGUUGUGCCCUUGAGGCGUGGCUUCCGGAGCUAACGCGUUAAGUAGACCGCCUGGGGAGUACGGCCGCAAGGUUAAAACUCAAAUGAAUUGACGGGGGCCCGCACAAGCGGUGGAGCAUGUGGUUUAAUUCGAUGCAACGCGAAGAACCUUACCUGGUCUUGACAUCCACAGAAGAAUCCAGAGAUGGAUUUGUGCCUUCGGGAACUGUGAGACAGGUGCUGCAUGGCUGUCGUCAGCUCGUGUUGUGAAAUGUUGGGUUAAGUCCCGCAACGAGCGCAACCCUUAUCCUUUGUUGCCAGCGGUUAGGCCGGGAACUCAAAGGAGACUGCCAGUGAUAAACUGGAGGAAGGUGGGGAUGACGUCAAGUCAUCAUGGCCCUUACGACCAGGGCUACACACGUGCUACAAUGGCGCAUACAAAGAGAAGCGACCUCGCGAGAGCAAGCGGACCUCAUAAAGUGCGUCGUAGUCCGGAUUGGAGUCUGCAACUCGACUCCAUGAAGUCGGAAUCGCUAGUAAUCGUGGAUCAGAAUGCCACGGUGAAUACGUUCCCGGGCCUUGUACACACCGCCCGUCACACCAUGGGAGUGGGUUGCAAAAGAAGUAGGUAGCUUAACCUUCGGGAGGGCGCUUACCACUUUGUGAUUCAUGACUGGGGUGAAGUCGUAACAAGGUAACCGUAGGGGAACCUGCGGUUGGAUCACCUCCUUA
Molecule: ribosomal RNA, 1500 nt
Filed under: Salmonella enterica
Lineage: Bacteria; Pseudomonadati; Pseudomonadota; Gammaproteobacteria; Enterobacterales; Enterobacteriaceae
Also listed under: 1 other name
Description: bacterial SSU rRNA
Rfam family: Bacterial small subunit ribosomal RNA
Source: RNAcentral